ACGACCUCCAAAAAUUGCAUAAAAAUACUCUAAAUAUUUCUAAAAAUCUCUAAAAUUUUUCUAAAGCAUUUCUAGAUUUUUAUAAGGACUUUUAGGACUUCAAAUAGUGAAAUUUGGGAUGUUACAGAUCACUUAUGUAAGAAAGAAGUGGGCCCACUUCGAAGAGAAUUGGAGGCACAAUUCUUAGAGCUUCUCACAAAACUAGGCGUGUUCAUGGCUAAAAAUGAACACACUAAUGAGAACUGAGUUGUAUCAGGGAGAAUCUUGGGUGAGAUAUGUCAAUGCUUACACAGACGGCAGAACAGUUCAAGGACAUCACGUCUACUGUCAGCCAGUAAGCAAACAGAUCUUCACAAGAGAAGGUUCAAAGGGUAAAACCUACCUAUCAUAUAUUUGACUCAAUUGUUGAAUGCUAUCAUAUACACUAUUUUCCAUUCAUGUGGGGGAUUGUUGGAAAUGUGAAUGGAAUAAAGAGGUGGAGACCAAGAGACUCUAUUGUGCAUGGGUUUAAUCCCACAUUAGAAGUCUCUUGGCUUUAUUGUUGGUUUAAAUUAUGAUACAUGCAUUGAUGUUGCAACAUAUACAUGGGGAGAGACUCUCUCACGUGUGAGUGCGCAGGGGUGGGUGCAAAUCCAGGGCUCGGAUUAUACUGAACUAAGGUUGACUCGUGUGCGAGCACGACCUGCGCAUGUCUAAUGUCGGACCGAUCCAGGCAAAAUUUGCCCAAAAGAAUAAACUAAUAUAUUUCCACUUGAAUCUCUUUUUGCUACAUGUUCAAGAGUGUAACGGAAGCAUUAAUGUGAAAUUAAAGGUGAUUCUGUAACGUCUCGAUAUUAAUGACGACAUUAAAGUCAUUAAUGGUGAUUUCAUAACGUCUCAGUAUUAAUGGCGAUAUUAAACUCAUUAAUAAUGAUUUCGUAACGUCUCGACAUUAAUAAAACAUUAAAUCAUUAAUGACGUUGUUAACCCCAACAUUAAAUGAUCAUAAUUUAAUCAUUUAUUGCAGGCAAGGUAAGAGCUCCUAUAUAAGGAGGUUGGAUCUUGAGCAAAGAGAGAUGUGUAAGAGAAGCGAAAGCAAGAGAAUUCCUCCACCUUUGUUCCCCGAUUCUUCUCUCAAUCGUGCAUCCGCUCGACUGAACUACUCGUGAUAACACUCAAGUGCAUUCUCAGUUCGCCACGAACAAUCAGUGCUUGGUUGCGUUCGUGGUUUUUCCGUUGUAUCCUGGUAAACAGACGACCCAAGGAAACCUCGAAGCACAACCAGAGGUGGGGUAAAUCUGUUUCAAGGAAAUUACGACUACCGCAGGCCUCGGUCCCUUCGCCCGUUCGGCCGCUUUGUCCACUCAGACUUUGCUACUCGAACUCGGUGUUCUGUCUGCACUCAGCAAUUAGCAGAAAUCAUCCCCCGCUGACAGCCUGAUAUUAUCAGCUCAGGUCAUCUCGAUAUAUAAAUUAGAAUUGAUUUUGUAUAAUUACAAUUCAGUUAAUUUUCUAAUAUCUCCAGUAACAGAUUGUCCAAAAGGUACAACAUCAAAUAUAUGGUCAUGUGGUGUACUACUGUUUGUCCUUAUGGCUGGAUACUUGCCUUUUGAUGGGCAGACAACAUGAUUUUGUAUAAAAAAAAGAAGUAAAUGCUAUAUCAGUAGAUUCAUCAUUGUUUUUCUUAUAAUAAAAUCCAUGUUUCCCUAUUUCUGAGUAUCAUCUUAAUUCACCUACACCACAGAUCUGUAAGCCAGAUUAUUCAUUUCCAGCUUGGUUCUCAUCAGGUGCAAAGAAAUUAAUUGCGCUUAUUCUAGAUCCAAAUUCUUUAACUAGAAUAACAAUUCCAGAAAUUUUAUCAGAUGAAUGGUUCAAGAAAGGAUAUAGGCCACCAUCUUUUGAACACGGUGAAGAUGUGAGCCUUGAUGAUAUUGAUGUUUGUCUCCAAUAAUUCAGAGGAACAUCUUGUAACAGAAAAGAAGGAAAAGCCAGAGUCAAUGAAUGCCUUAGAACUCAUUUCCAGAUCACAAGGUUUCAAUUUGGGAAAUUUGUUUGAAAA
Molecule: long non-coding RNA, 2038 nt
Organism: Zingiber officinale
Lineage: Eukaryota; Viridiplantae; Streptophyta; Magnoliopsida; Zingiberales; Zingiberaceae
Exons: 3
Source: RefSeq, a predicted model, not a curated record